GAUGAACGCUGGCGGCGUGCCUAACACAUGCAAGUCGAACGAAGCUUGACGGAUGAUUUCUUCGGAAUGAAACCAGAUAUGACUUAGUGGCGGACGGGUGAGUAACACGUGAGCAACCUGCCUUUCAGAGGGGGAUAACGGCUGGAAACGGUCGCUAAUACCGCAUGAUGUGUUCGGAGGGCAUCAUCUGAACAUCAAAGAUUUAUCGCUGAAAGAUGGGCUCGCGUCUGAUUAGAUAGAUGGUGGGGUAACGGCCUACCAAGUCUACGAUCAGUAGCCGGACUGAGAGGUUGAACGGCCACAUUGGGACUGAGAUACGGCCCAGACUCCUACGGGAGGCAGCAGUGGGGAAUAUUGCACAAUGGGGGAAACCCUGAUGCAGCAACGCCGCGUGAAGGAUGACGGUUUUCGGAUUGUAAACUUCUUUUCUUAGGGACGAAGACAGUGACGGUAGCUAAGGAAUAAGCAUCGGCUAACUACGUG
Molecule: ribosomal RNA, 483 nt
Filed under: uncultured bacterium
Lineage: Bacteria
Description: partial 16S ribosomal RNA
Rfam family: Bacterial small subunit ribosomal RNA
Source: RNAcentral